GCCUGGGUGGCUCAGUCGGUUGAGCGUCUGACUUCGGCUCAGGUCAUGAUCUCAUGGUCUGUGAGUUCGAGCCCCGCGUCGGGCU
RNAcentral lists this transfer RNA (85 nucleotides) under Felis catus (domestic cat). It matches the Rfam family "tRNA". Rfam says of the family: Transfer RNA (tRNA) molecules are approximately 80 nucleotides in length. Their secondary structure includes four short double-helical elements and three loops (D, anti-codon, and T loops). Lineage: Eukaryota; Metazoa; Chordata; Mammalia; Carnivora; Felidae. The record is from Rfam by way of RNAcentral.